RNAcentral lists this ribosomal RNA (460 nucleotides) under uncultured bacterium. RNAcentral describes it as "partial 16S ribosomal RNA". It matches the Rfam family "Bacterial small subunit ribosomal RNA", at positions 338 to 795 of the family's 1533-position model. The record is from RNAcentral.
CCUACGGGAGGCAGCAGUGAGGAAUAUUGGUCAAUGGACGCAAGUCUGAACCAGCCAUGCCGCGUGCAGGAUGACGGCUCUAUGAGUUGUAAACUGCUUUUGUACGAGGGUAAACCCCGAUACGUGGAUGGGGGUGAAAGUAUCGUACGAAUAAGGAUCGGCUAACUCCGGGCCAGCAGCCGCGGUAAUACGGAGGAUCCGAGCGUUAUCCGGAUUGAUUGGGUUUAAAGGGUGCGUAGGAGGUUUGAUAAGUUAGAGGUGAAAUGUCGGGGCUUAACCCCGAAACUGCCGCUAAUACUGUUGGACUAGGGAAUAGUUGCGGUAGGCGGAAUGUAUGGUGUAGCGGUGAAAUGCUUAGAGAUCAUACAGAACACCGAUUGCGAAGGCAGCUUACCAAACUAUAUCUGACGUUGAGGCACGAAAGCGUGGGUAGCAAACAGGAUUAGAUACCCGGGUAGUC